Long non-coding RNA from Osmerus eperlanus (European smelt), 2281 nucleotides. RefSeq lists it as uncharacterized. The transcript is spliced from 4 exons. NCBI's taxonomy places the organism in Eukaryota, Metazoa, Chordata, Actinopteri, Osmeriformes, Osmeridae. The record is from RefSeq and is a predicted model, not a curated record.
AGUGUAACUUGAGCACUUCGUCUGUCAGGAAUACACAUAAGACUCCAUGAUAGUUUUUAGGCUGAACACUGCUACAUUUUGAUUUUCUCUGUCAGGCGAUACUUUUCUUCGAGAUUCAUGACAUUUUUGUUGAACUCAAAGAAACUAUUACAGACAACCAUGUCCACCAGGUGACAGGACUACCAGGUGACAGGACUAGGCUUGCGUUGACUCACCUGUAAAAUGGCAGCUGAGCACUCAACAAAAGGUUCUGGGGGUCUUAUUCCCCAGUCAGAUCUUCGACUCGUGCUGCUGGGUAAAGUUGGGGCUGGGAAGAGUGUAUUUGCUAGAAAUAUUCUUGGACAAGAGAACUGGAAAGACCGAGGCAUGUGUGUGAAGAAGCAAGGAGAAGUGUCUGGAAGAACAGUGACUGUGGUGGACACACCGGGAUGGGACCCCAUGUCCUUGAAGAGCACGUCCCACCAAAUCAAAAAAGAAAUUGAAAAAAGUGUGACUGUCCCCCAGGACCCCACGCUCUCCUGCUAGUGGUACCGUUAAGAGAAGAACUCUCAGGUAAUGAGAGAAAGUCAAUCCAGCACCACAUGGAGCUUUUGUCAGAGAGGGUUUGGAAGCACACCAUGGUCCUGUUUGUUAGUGAGACUGAGAAGAACAAAUAUGCCCACUCAAAUGUUAUCGAGAGUGCAAGAGGCCUUUUGGAGAAAUGUGAAGGCAGAUAUCAUGUAGUUUGUGGACCUACAAGUAAACCUAUGCAGGUGUCUGAGUUCCUGCAGAAGAUUGACAAAAUGGUGGAGAGAAACUCUGACGAGGUCUUCUUACCUCGAGUGUACUAUGAACUGUUUGAGAAGAAGAGAAGAACUUAUGAAGACCGGGUUGAGAAACUGAAACAUGAGAACAUGAGAUAUGAAAACCGUCUAAAAGAGUUGGAGCAGGAGAUUGAUUGGUAUAAAACAGAAAGAAUGCAUAAAGAGGGGAUGAGGAGGAGGAAAAGUAUGGAAAGGCUUCCUAGCUUGAACUCAGAUCCCACACUACAAGGAGAUGAAGAACAAGCAAUGUCGUCUGAAUAGGAACUUCAAGACACUCAAAGAGGGUUGAAAGGAGAUGGACAAGGUUUCAAUGAACGAUUACUAUAGAAGCCAUUUCACUUUUUCACAGUUUUGUUUGAUUUUUUUGUGCACUAGGGGCGCACCUCUGUCAGAAAAUGAAAGGUUGGUAAUUGGGGUAAAGACAUACAGCUGGCUCAAAAUAUAUUGUUUUUAUCAGAACAAGAUAAAGUCAGAGCCAGUAGAGAGUUACAUGAAUUGAACUCUACUCUGCUUUUUUGUUCUAUAGUUUGUUCUAUCAAUGGAUUAAGUCUACCCAAAAGAUGAAUCCAUGAAGACAAUUCACUUUUUCCCCCUGCGCACAGCCAAUCUUUGAAGCUGCAUCAGUGGCGUUUAUGGAAGUGGAAAUUUGAUUUCAGUCUACAAAACCAAACAGGAAAUUUGUAAACGUGUGACUGUUUGAAGAACCCCAACUUUGCAUUAUACAAUGUCUUAUAAGACAUCUUAUCUCUCUGGAGGAGCUUCAAAGGGUUAAUACGUGACCAUCUGUCUCCCUCCCCCGAGGGUUGGGGGGGAAAGUAUAUUUCCCUUUUAUACUGUGUUGAUUUAAUUUGAUGUUUUAAUGUAACUUCCUUUCAUGUUACGUUAUGAUGAGUCAGACAACCUUGGUAUCCAACUUAUUGUAAUCUACUAACAAAACCAUUUAUCAAUGUUGUGUAUCAAUAUAAAGUAUAUGCAAGGUGGGAACAUUUGAAGGCCACAAUCCUUACAUUCCAUUCACACCUCUCUGUGAAUCAGCUUGGAUAACACCCAAGCCGAGGAAUUGACCAAUGAACUAUCUCACCUACACAAACUGACUGAGAAAACCAAACUCAGUCACCGGAUUGAAAGGAAUACUUUGACAAAAGGACCUUUGAUCGAACUCUAAGGACUUAAACAGAGCCUGCUUUGACCCACUAAUCAACAUACCGACAAAAGUAAAUGCGACUAUAUUUCUUGUGACAUUGGCAUGAAGUGAUUUAUAUUGUGUUUGAUUGGACUACAAGUAAAGCGAACUAUUGUUAGGGUUACUGCUAGACUCUUCAAGUUACCAGACAACAGUUACCAGACAAGGCCUGAUCCUUUCACCCCUCUUCCCACUCUUUUCACCAUUUCAUUGUUCAUUUUGUUAUCCAACAUGUUUCUAUCCAACUCUUCUCAAACAAUAACAUAUGCAGUACUGUUCAUUAUAUUUCCAUUUA